Molecule: long non-coding RNA, 272 nt
Organism: Oreochromis niloticus (Nile tilapia)
Lineage: Eukaryota; Metazoa; Chordata; Actinopteri; Cichliformes; Cichlidae
Exons: 3
Source: RefSeq, a predicted model, not a curated record
CAGACUAACUGCACCCUGACAUCAAGAAGAUGGAGGAAGAGGAUGGAGCAGGAUCUGCAGCAUCCAGCUGUGUGUCUGUGAGGAGUGACUGGUCCAAAGAAGAACCUCCAGAGUUCAGUAAUGAACCUGCAGCAACAAUAGCUUCUGCACAGUGUGGAGAAAGAUCCAGAAGCAGAGCUGGACUGCAGACAGCCAGUCAGAGCAGCUGUGUACAAACAGAUGUUGGUCUGCAGGAGGUUUUAGAUGAACAUAAGAUCAGUCUGAGGAGGAGA